CGGGUGUGGUGGCGCGUGCCUGUAAUCCAAGUUACCGGGAGGUUGAGACUGGUGGAUCGUUUGAGCUCAGGAUCUCUGAGCUGCAGUGGACUAUGUCGAUUGGGUGUCCCAAUAAGUUCGGUAUCGAUAUGGUGCUCCUGGGGGAGGCCGGGACCACCAGGUUGUCUAAGGAGGGGUGCACCGGCCCAGGUUGGAACGGAGCAGGCCAAAGCCCCCGUGCCGCUCAGUAGUGGAUCGCGCCUGUGAAUAGAGGCUGUAGUGAAGCCUGAGUAAUACAGCGGGACCCAGUCUUUU
RNAcentral lists this signal recognition particle RNA (294 nucleotides) under Neogobius melanostomus (round goby). Its description in RNAcentral is "Metazoan signal recognition particle RNA (ENSNMLG00000003678.1)". It matches the Rfam family "Metazoan signal recognition particle RNA". From Rfam's summary of the family: The signal recognition particle (SRP) is a universally conserved ribonucleoprotein. It is involved in the co-translational targeting of proteins to membranes. Lineage: Eukaryota; Metazoa; Chordata; Actinopteri; Gobiiformes; Gobiidae. The record is from Rfam by way of RNAcentral.